AUUGAACGCUGGCGGAAUGCUUUACACAUGCAAGUCGAACGGCAGCACGGACUUCGGUCUGGUGGCGAGUGGCGAACGGGUGAGUAAUAUAUCGGAACGUGCCCAGUCGUGGGGGAUAACGUAGCGAAAGCUACGCUAAUACCGCAUACGAUCUACGGAUGAAAGCGGGGGAUCGCAAGACCUCGGGCGAUUGGAACGGCCGAUAUCCGAUUAGGUAGUUGGUGAGGUAAAGGCUCACCAAGCCGACGAUCUGUAGCUGGUCUGAGAGGACGACCAGCCACACUGGGACUGAGACACGGCCCAGACUCCUACGGGAGGCAGCAGUGGGGAAUUUUGGACAAUGGACGCAAGUCUGAUCCAGCCAUUCCGCGUGCAGGACGAAGGCCUUCGGGUUGUAAACUGCUUUUGUACAGAACGAAAAGGUCUCUAUUAAUACUAGGGGCUCAUGACGGUACUGUAAGAAUAAGCACCGGCUAACUACGUGCCAGCCGCCGCCGUAA
This 500-nucleotide ribosomal RNA is filed under the name uncultured bacterium. Its description in RNAcentral is "partial 16S ribosomal RNA". It matches the Rfam family "Bacterial small subunit ribosomal RNA", at positions 30 to 523 of the family's 1533-position model. The record is from RNAcentral.